This 495-nucleotide ribosomal RNA is filed under the name uncultured bacterium. Its description in RNAcentral is "partial 16S ribosomal RNA". It matches the Rfam family "Bacterial small subunit ribosomal RNA", at positions 28 to 507 of the family's 1533-position model. The record is from RNAcentral.
GGCGAACGCUGGCGGCGUGCCUAAUACAUGCAAGUAGAACGCUGAAGGAGGAGCUUGCUUCUCUGGAUGAGUUGCGAACGGGUGAGUAACGCGUAGGUAACCUGCCUGGUAGCGGGGGAUAACUAUUGGAAACGAUAGCUAAUACCGCAUAAUAGUAGAUGUCGCAUGACAUUUGCUUAAAAGGUGCAAUUGCAUCACUACCAGAUGGACCUGCGUUGUAUUAGCUAGUUGGUGAGGUAACGGCUCACCAAGGCAACGAUACAUAGCCGACCUGAGAGGGUGAUCGGCCACACUGGGACUGAGACACGGCCCAGACUCCUACGGGAGGCAGCAGUAGGGAAUCUUCGGCAAUGGACGGAAGUCUGACCGAGCAACGCCGCGGGAGUGAAGAAGGUUGUCGGAUCGUAAAGCUCUGUUGUAAGAGAAGAACGAGUGUGAGAGUGGAAAGUUCACACUGUGACGGUAUCUUACCAGAAAGGGACGGCUAACUACGUG